CUUCGGGACAGAAUGACAGGUGGUGCAUGGUUGUCGUCAGCUCGUGUCGAGAGAUGUUGAGUAAGUCCCGCAAGGAGCGCAACCCUCGAUCUAUAGUUGCCAGCAUUCAGUUAGGCACUCUAAGGUGACUGCCGGUGACAAACCGGAGGAAGGUGGAGAUGACGUCAAAUCAUCAAGCCCCUUAUGACCUGGGCUACACACGUGCUACAAUGGACAGAACAAAGGGCUGCGAGACCGCAAGGUUUAGCCAAUCCCACAAAUCUGUUCUCAGUUCGGAUCGCAGUCUGCAACUCGACUGCGUGAAGCUGGAAUCGCUAGUAAUCGCGGAUCAGCAUGCCGCGGUGAAUACGUUCCCGGGCCUUGUACACACCGCCCGUCACACCACGAGAGUUUGCAACACCCGAAGUCGGUGAGGUAACCUUUAUGGAGCCAGCCGCCGAAGGUGGGGCAGAUGAUUGGGGUGAAGUCGUAACAAGGUAGCCGUAUCGGAAGGUGCGGCUGGAUCACCUCCUU
RNAcentral lists this ribosomal RNA (513 nucleotides) under Bacillus sp. MP2(2008). RNAcentral describes it as "bacterial SSU rRNA". It matches the Rfam family "Bacterial small subunit ribosomal RNA", at positions 1019 to 1532 of the family's 1533-position model. Lineage: Bacteria; Bacillati; Bacillota; Bacilli; Caryophanales; Bacillaceae. The record is from RNAcentral.